This 468-nucleotide ribosomal RNA is filed under the name uncultured bacterium. RNAcentral describes it as "partial 16S ribosomal RNA". It matches the Rfam family "Bacterial small subunit ribosomal RNA", at positions 28 to 507 of the family's 1533-position model. The record is from RNAcentral.
GACGAACGCUGGCGGCGUGCUUAACACAUGCAAGUCGAACGGAAAGGCGCUGCUUUUGUGGGGUGCUCGAGUGGCGAAGGGGUGAGUAACACGUGAGUAACCUGCCCUUGACUUUGGGGUAACUUCAGGAGACUGGGGCGAAUACCGGAUAGGAGCUGCUGCUGCAUGGGGGGGGUUGGAAAGUUUCGGCGGUUGGGGAUGGACUCGCUGCUUAUCAGCUUGUUGGGGGGGUAGUGGCUUACCACGUCUUUGACGGGUAGCCUGCCUGAGAGGGUUGACGGCCACAUUGGGCCUGAGAUACGGCGCAGAAUGCAACGGGAGGCAGCAGUGGGGAAUAUUGCACAACGGGCGGAAGCCUGAUGAAGCAACGCUGCGUGCGUGAUGCUGGCCUUCGGGUUGUAAACCGCUUUCGACUGUGACGAAGAGUGAGUGACGGUAAUGGGUAAAGAAGCACCGGCUAACUACGUG